RNAcentral lists this ribosomal RNA (900 nucleotides) under uncultured bacterium. RNAcentral's name for it is "bacterial SSU rRNA". It matches the Rfam family "Bacterial small subunit ribosomal RNA", at positions 8 to 916 of the family's 1533-position model. The record is from RNAcentral.
AGAGUUUGAUCCUGGCUCAGGACAAACGCUGGCGGCGUGCGUAACACAUGCAAGUCGAACGGGGCGGCGGCCUUCGGGGCGCUGUCGAGUGGCGGACGGGUGCGUAACACGUGGAUGACCUGCCCUGGUGUGGGGGAUACCCACUAGAAAUAGUGGCUAAUACCGCAUAGGCUGCGGUGCUUGCGGGCACCGUAGCAAAGCCUCCGGCAACGGAGGCGCAGCAGGAGGGGUCCGCGGCCGAUUAGCUAGUUGGUGUGGUAAGAGCGCACCAAGGCGACGAUCGGUAGCUGGUCUGAGAGGAUGAUCAGCCACACUGGGAUUGAGAACGGCCCAGACUCCUACGGGGGGCAGCAGUGAGGAAUCUUCCGCAAUGGGCGCAAGCCUGACGGAGCAACGCCGCGUGGAGGAUGACGGCCUUCGGGUUGUAAACUCCUUUUCUAUCCGACGAGAACGGACGGUAGGGUAGGAAGAAGUCUCGGCUAACUACGUGCCAGCAGCCGCGGUAAUACGUAGGAGACGAGCGUUGUCCGGAGUUACUGGGCGUAAAGGGUGCGCAGGCGGCUUCGCGCGUGUGCGGUGAAAUCUCCUGGCUCAACUGGGAGGGUGCCGUGCAGACGGCGGAGCUUGAGGGUCGGAGAGGGGCGUGGAAUUCCGGGUGGAGCGGUGAAAUGCGUAGAGAUCCGGAGGAACACCGACGGCGAAGGCAGCGCCCUGGCCGACAUCUGACGCUCAGGCACGAAAGCUGGGGGAGCGAACAGGAUUAGAUACCCUGGUAGUCCCAGCUGUAAACGAUGUCCACCGGGUGCUGGGGGUAUCGACCCCCUCGGUGCCGCAGCUAACGUGAUGAGUGGACCGCCUGGGGAGUACGGCCGCAAGGUUAAAACUCAAAGGAAUUGACGG